GACGAACGCUGGCGGCGUGCUUAACACAUGCAAGUCGAACGGAAAGGCCCUGCUUUCGUGGGGUUCUCGAGUGGCGAACGGGUGAGUAACACGUGAGUAACCUGCCCUUGACUUUGGGAUAACUUCAGGAAACUGGGGCUAAUACCGGAUAGGAGCUCCUGCUGCAUGGUGGGGGUUGGAAAGUUUCGGCGGUUGGGGAUGGACUCGAUGCUUAUCUGCUUGUUGGUGGGGUAGUGGCUUACCAAGGCUUUGACGGGUAGCCGGCCAGAGAGGGUGACCAGCCACAUUGGGACUAUGGUAGGGCCCGGACUCCUAAGGGAGGCAGAAGUGGGGAACAUUGCACAAUGGGCGGAAGCCUGAUGCAGCAACGCCGCGUGCGGGAUGACGGCCUUCGGGUUGUAAACCGCUUUCGCCUGUGACGAAGCGUGAGUGACGGUAAUGGGUAAAGAAGCACCGGCUAACUACGUG
RNAcentral lists this ribosomal RNA (468 nucleotides) under uncultured bacterium. RNAcentral describes it as "partial 16S ribosomal RNA". It matches the Rfam family "Bacterial small subunit ribosomal RNA", at positions 28 to 507 of the family's 1533-position model. The record is from RNAcentral.